UUUCCGUAGGUGAACCUGCGGAAGGAUCAUUAUUGUAUAACCGAGGUGCGAGGGCUGUCGCUGACCCGAAAGGUCGUGCACGCCCGAGUGCCCUCACACACAUCCAUCUCACCCCUAUGUGCACCACCGCGUGGGUCACCCUUUGGCUUGUUCGGAGGGGGGCUUACGUUUUCACACAAACUUUGUAUGUAGUGUAGAAUGUAUUUUUUGUUUUUGCGAUCACGCAAUCAAUACAACUUUCAACAACGGAUCUCUUGGCUCUC
Molecule: unclassified non-coding RNA, 263 nt
Filed under: plant metagenome
Description: partial contains small subunit ribosomal RNA, internal transcribed spacer 1, and 5.8S ribosomal RNA
Source: RNAcentral